This is a non-coding RNA of Acanthosepion pharaonis, 113 nucleotides long. The record is from the annotation of a GenBank genome assembly. NCBI's taxonomy places the organism in Eukaryota, Metazoa, Mollusca, Cephalopoda, Sepiida, Sepiidae.
UGAGGCCAUAUAACGUGGAAACAUUGGUUCCCAUACGAUCACCGAAGUCAAGCAACGUCAAGCCUGGUCAGUAUCUAGACAGGUGAGCGCUUGUGUAUAUCAGGUGCUGUAAG